CGGGACCUACCCAGACGUGGGGGAUAACGUAGGGAAACUUACGCUAAUACCGCAUACGUCCUACGGGAGAAAGCGGGGGAUCGCAAGACCUCGCGCGGUUGGAUGGACCGAUGUGCGAUUAGCUAGUUGGUAAGGUAACGGCUUACCAAGGCGACGAUCGCUAGCUGGUCUGAGAGGAUGAUCAGCCACACUGGGACUGAGACACGGCCCAGACUCCUACGGGAGGCAGCAGUGGGGAAUAUUGGACAAUGGGCGCAGGCCUGAUCCAGCAAUGCCGCGUGUGUGAA
Molecule: ribosomal RNA, 287 nt
Filed under: uncultured Rhodanobacter sp.
Lineage: Bacteria; Pseudomonadati; Pseudomonadota; Gammaproteobacteria; Lysobacterales; Rhodanobacteraceae
Description: partial 16S ribosomal RNA
Rfam family: Bacterial small subunit ribosomal RNA
Source: RNAcentral